Molecule: ribosomal RNA, 326 nt
Filed under: uncultured bacterium
Lineage: Bacteria
Description: partial 16S ribosomal RNA
Rfam family: Bacterial small subunit ribosomal RNA
Source: RNAcentral
UGGGGAAUAUUGGACAAUGGGGGGCAACCCUGAUCCAGCAAUGCCGCGUGUGUGAAGAAGGUCUUCGGAUUGUAAAGCACUUUCGACGGGGACGAUGAUGACGGUACCCGUAGAAGAAGCCCCGGCUAACUUCGUGCCAGCAGCCGCGGUAAUACGAAGGGGGCUAGCGUUGCUCGGAAUGACUGGGCGUAAAGGGCGUGUAGGCGGUUUACACAGUCAGAUGUGAAAUCCCCGGGCUUAACCUGGGAGCUGCAUUUGAUACGUGUAGACUAGAGUGUGAGAGAGGGUUGUGGAAUUCCCAGUGUAGAGGUGAAAUUCGUAGAUAU